Molecule: RNA transcript, 1589 nt
Organism: Arachis duranensis
Lineage: Eukaryota; Viridiplantae; Streptophyta; Magnoliopsida; Fabales; Fabaceae
Exons: 4
Source: RefSeq, a predicted model, not a curated record
AAAAAUUAAACACAAAACUCUAACCCUAACUUUCCCAUCUCCUUCAGCCGCCAUACCCCUUUCCCCUUUCUUCCAAAAUCAAACUCACCCACACAACACAUAACAACAGCAAACAAUCAACAGAAAGAAAGAAAAGAGAAGAGAGGGUGCGAAUCAGAAGAGGGGAGAAGGGGGAAGAGUGCGCCGGCGAGUCACUGCCGCUCGUCGCGCCGCCGUCGUCGCCGAUGGUGGAGGAACGAAGAGAGUGUGUCGCGGAGCAAGGAAAGCUCGUGCGAGUGAGGAGCGGCGCCACUACCGUCGCGCCGUGCAUCGCCAACUUCGUUACACCUCGUUAUCACCAUCGCUGUCAGACCACCGUGGAGUCGUUGCCAUCGCACCGGCGCUGCGCGCGAGCUGCUAUCAAGCCACGAGCAACCCGAUGCGAAGAGAGAGCGACAGAGCAACGCGAGGAGAGAGAGAAGGCAUUGCAGAGUAGUUUCUGCCGCUACUGCUCUCUCUGCCAUCACCGUUUGUGGAGCUCGCCGCUGCCGGAGUCACGAGCUGAAGUGGGGAAGGAGGCCAUCUUCCCUAUGGUGUUGCAGUCACCAGUCACCGUGCUAUUACUGCUACGCUUCGUUUUCUUUUUCCUUAAUUGUUGUAAGUUAUUAUCUUGUUAUUAUCUUGUUAUUUGUAAAUUAAGAACUUUAAGGCGUUGAUGUUUUAGGAUUAAGCUGUUGCAGACGUGGGUUGUGAUGGUUGAUAUUUUUUUUAAGAAUCGUUGCUGCUGGGGUAACUGAGAUUGCUACUGCUAGUUCUAAUCUUGCUACUGUUGCUGUUGAUUUGCCCCAAUUCAAGUUCAGUGUCAUUGCCCUAGAGUUGUUUCUGCGUUUAAUUUCAUCAAAUUCAAUAUUGCUGUGAGUGUAAUUGUAGUUGGUAAUGCCGCCAUCAUAUCUCAACUUGGCCAACAUCAUCCUCAUUGUUCUGAUCCCAAUUUCCCCAAUUUUAAAACCGGACUGUUGAAGCUACGACUGGUUAUGUAGUAGCUUGUUGCUACCACCAAUGCUGAUUUAUGGUAGAAUGAUGAGGCUGCGAUGUUGAGGGUGCAGUCCAGCCUACUACAAAAUUCUGCCUUUGGUUUCUUUUAAUUGCGACAUUGAGAUACGAGGUUCCCUGGAUAAAGUGUCGUGGCUUGCCACUACGUGUACCAAGUUGAAAACUCGAUACUCUGUUGACCCUACGACGUAAGUGUGACUGGGCACUAUAUAAAUUCCCGGGAAUGUUACCCCCAUUGAGCAAUAUUGAUUAUUUGAGAAAAAGCUAUGCAUAGACUCUUGGGGAUGCACGUCGGAGGACAGUCUAAGGACAAUUCAAACUUGUCGGGUUGGAUGGAUAACCGAUAGAUGAGCCUCAUCAACCAUAGGACAGAAAUCGGUGGAAGGAGUAUAGUGAAGAGUUAUAUUGCGUUUUUGGUUUAUAUGAUAUUGUAUUGAUUAGAUAAUUUUUUCUUCCCUCGUCUCUGUUAUUACAAUCUUGUAAGAGGGACAUGAGUUGUUUGUUUUAUAUGUAUAUUACAUUAUAAGCUAUUAUGUAAGAAGUCUAUUUUAUGUGAA